UGGGGGAUAUUGCACAAUGGGCGAAAGCCUGAUGCAGCGACGCCGCGUGGGGGAUGAAGGCUUUCGGGUUGUAAACCUCUUUCGCUAUCGAACAAGGCCCGCUUAGGGUGGGUUGAGGGUAGGUGGAGAAGAAGCGCCGGCUAACUACGUGCCAGCAGCCGCGGUAAUACGUAGGGCGCGAGCGUUGUCCGGAAUUAUUGGGCGUAAAGGGCUUGUAGGCGGCUUGUUGCGCCUGCUGUGAAAACGCGGGGCUUAACUUCGCGCGUGCAGUGGGUACGGGCAGGCUUGAGUGUGGUAGGGGUGACUGGAAUUCCAGGUGUAGCGAUGGAAUGCGCAGAUAUCUGGAGGAACACCGAUGGCGAAGGCAGGUCACUGGGCCAUUACUGACGCUGGGGAGCGAAAGCAUGGGUAGCGAACAGG
This 420-nucleotide ribosomal RNA is filed under the name bacterium. RNAcentral describes it as "partial 16S ribosomal RNA". It matches the Rfam family "Bacterial small subunit ribosomal RNA", at positions 355 to 776 of the family's 1533-position model. The record is from RNAcentral.